ACCAAAGCCAGGCUAAAACUUCAAUUCCUAUCCAGGCUCCAGUUACUGGUACAACAGCCAGUGAAAACCAUUGCCAGCCAAGGUCUUACCUCAACAAAGAUGGACUCAGUGCAUUCCCCCAUCUCUGCUGACUAUAUUCCAGAAAUUUCUAAUGAUACAGCUCACUCACAGUUUACUACACCUUCUGUACAUAAUGAAUCCAAGCAACUAUGCAAAUUUGUUGUACCAUCCCAAUAUAUUUCCAAUUUCAUCCCUGCUGUCUACAGUAUCAUCUUUAUCUUGGGAUUCAUUGGAAACAGUGUGGUCAUCGCCGUCUUGUGUCAUCGCUCCCAUUUGAGAACUGUUGCUAACAUUUAUAUAAUCAACUUAUCAAUUGCCGACUUGGUAUUUUUAUCCACUCUUCCAAUUUGGGCGGUCUAUUAUGCUACUGGGUACAGUUGGCAUUUUGGGUCAGUGAUGUGUAAAAUAUGCAGCUCCCUUGUGUCUCUGAAUUUGUAUGCCAGUAUAUAUUUCAUUACAUGCAUGAGUAUUGAUCGUUACCUGGUAAUUCUCCACCCUUUUGGAUCCCAGUCUGAGAAAUCUCUGUACCAAGCUCGCUGUGUCAUAAUCCUGGUAUGGACUUUGGCUUUAGUUGCCACCUUUCCAACCAUUUACUUUCAGCGUGCGCAUCACAUCGAGGAGAUAGGGAAUAUGGUGUGUGCAAUGGUUUACCCCUCCAAUGAUGCCAAUCACUGGUCUGCAGCCAUGUCUUUCAUGAUAAAUAUCUUGGGUUUCUUCAUUCCCUUCACAGUAAUAGGCACAUGCUAUGGUUUUGUUGCCUGUCAUUUGAUGAGAAUGGAAGGACGAGAAAAAAACAAACAUAAACGAGACAAAGCAUUGUGGAUGGUCAUUGCAGUCGUGCUGGCUUUUUUCAUCUGCUGGUUGCCAUUUCAUGCAUUAACUUUCCUGGAUGCAUUGUCAAAGAUGAAUUUCAUCACCAAUUGUCGAACUAUCACUGCGAUCAAAACUGCAAUGCCGAUUGCCAUUUGCCUUGGUUUUGCAAAUAGCUGCAUCAACCCUUUUAUUUACUACUUUAUGGAAGAUCACUUUCAGGUACAUCUUACUGACAUGGCUCAGAGUGGAUCCAUUAAGCUCCACAACCGGAGAAACUCAUCGACCAGGAUAAGCUCCCUCUCCCAGAGGAACAACGACAUGGGGGAUACGGAUGUUAAGAAUUCAUGAGAUGUUGGAUUAAGUGAAGCCACCAUUGCUACACACACUCCCCUCCCAACACUACCACCUUGCUGUUGAUUGCAUUCUAAUUUUUGAUUUUCAAAGAUGGGAACCUAUCAGCUGGAAGACAGUGGAACAAUUCCCAAGAAGUCUGAAUCACAAAGUGACUAUCUGGUGUCUGUGCAUUCUUCGUAUAGUGCCGAUAACAUGGAGUCUAUGAAAAAGAAGAUCGCCAUUCAGGAUGAAAUGUUAAAGAAACUAAUCACUCUGGAGAUUAAAUUGACCGAAUUAGAGAAGAUUUUGAUCUCCAAAUAUGGGAAUAAAACACCUGUUUCAAGUUAAACAUUCUAUCCAAUUGAUGCUACAAAAUGCCACAUAAUGCCACAUAAUUGUAGUCAUGCUAACCUGUACAGAAGGGGAAUAAAGUAGCAACAAAAGCAAGAACUGAAAA
Rhincodon typus (whale shark) is the source of this 1663-nucleotide RNA transcript. RefSeq lists it as uncharacterized. NCBI's taxonomy places the organism in Eukaryota, Metazoa, Chordata, Chondrichthyes, Orectolobiformes, Rhincodontidae. The transcript has 3 exons. The record is from RefSeq and is a predicted model, not a curated record.